CCAAUAGCGUAUAUUAAAGUUGUUGCAGUUAAAAAGCUCGUAGUUGAAUUUCGGGGUUAGUAGGUUGGUCAUGCCACUGGUAUGUACUGGUCUCACUGAUUCCUCCUUCCUGAUGAGCCGUAAUGCCAUUAAUUUGGUGUUGCGAGGAAUCGGGACUGUUACUUUGAAAAAAUUAGAGUGUUUAAAGCAGGCUAACGCUUGAAUACAUUAGCAUGGAAUAAUGAAAUAGGACGUUCGAUCUUAUUUUGUUGGUUUCUAAGAUUGACGUAAUGAUUAAUAGGGAUAGUUGGGGGCAUUAGUAUUCAAUUGUCAGAGGUGAAAUUCUUGGAUUUAUUGAAGACUAACUACUGCGAAAGCAUUUGCCAAGGAUGUUUUCAUUAAUCAAGAACGAAAGUUAGGGGAUCGAAGACGAUCAGAUACCGUCGUAGUCUUAACCAUAAACUAUGCCGACUAGGGAUCGGAUGAUGUUAAUUUUUUAAUGACUCAUUCGGCGCCUUACG
This 500-nucleotide ribosomal RNA is filed under the name uncultured Glomeromycotina. RNAcentral describes it as "partial small subunit ribosomal RNA". It matches the Rfam family "Eukaryotic small subunit ribosomal RNA", at positions 591 to 1092 of the family's 1831-position model. Lineage: Eukaryota; Fungi; Glomeromycota. The record is from RNAcentral.